This 573-nucleotide unclassified non-coding RNA is filed under the name Hevea brasiliensis (rubber tree). Lineage: Eukaryota; Viridiplantae; Streptophyta; Magnoliopsida; Malpighiales; Euphorbiaceae. The record is from RNAcentral.
AUCAUCCACGAUCCCGGCCGCGGCGCGCCGCUCGCGAAGGUCACCUUCCGCCACCCCUUCCGGUACAAGCACCAGAAGGAGCUCUUCGUCGCCGCCGAGGGGAUGUACACCGGUCAGUUCCUCUACUGCGGCCGGAAGGCCACGCUCAUGGUCGGCAACGUGCUGCCGCUCAGAUCUAUUCCGGAGGGGGCGGUGGUUUGUAAUGUUGAGCAUCAUGUUGGGGAUCGCGGCGUGCUGGCAAGGGCGUCGGGGGAUUAUGCGAUUGUGAUCAGUCAUAAUCCGGAUAACGGCACCUCCAGAAUCAAGCUUCCAUCAGGAGCUAAGAAGAUUGUACCGAGUGGCUGCAGGGCAAUGAUUGGACAGGUUGCUGGCGGGGGUAGGACUGAGAAGCCCCUUCUCAAGGCUGGUAAUGCUUACCACAAAUACCGUGUAAAGAGGAACUGCUGGCCCAAGGUCCGAGGUGUGGCCAUGAACCCUGUUGAGCAUCCCCACGGAGGAGGUAACCAUCAGCAUAUCGGUCAUGCUUCAACCGUCCGUCGUGAUGCCCCACCUGGACAGAAGGUUGGUCUUAUU